Malus domestica (apple) is the source of this 970-nucleotide non-coding RNA. The record is from RefSeq and is a predicted model, not a curated record. NCBI's taxonomy places the organism in Eukaryota, Viridiplantae, Streptophyta, Magnoliopsida, Rosales, Rosaceae.
GCAGACAAUGCUUUUCCCUUUGCUUUGCGUAUUAAUAUUUCGAAGAAACAGUGAGCUGUGGGCGUUUAGAAUUAGAACCCGAUAGAGCAGAGAUAGCAGAGCCAUGGAAGCGCAGACGAAGAAGGAGCUGACGGUGGCCGUGGGGUUUGUUAUCUUCACAGUCUUGAUUUCCGGCGUCGGAGCCUGGACCGGUGAAAUCCACGGCAGAGUUGUUUGCGAUGUCUGUGGCGACUCCGCCAUCGGACCCGAAGAUCAUGUUCUAGAAGGUGCUGAGGUAGGUAGCUGUACUAUGCGUUACGAAAUCAGGUGAAGUUCUAAAUUACCAGGCAUUCACGAAUGAUAAGGGGGUAUAUACAGUGGCGGAGACGAUGCCCGAGAGUGACAGGUGGGAUGCAUGCCUGGCACGACCUAUCAGUAGCUUCCAUGAGCACUGCAGCCAUCUUGGGGGUGGUAGCUCAGGCGUUAAGUUCACUUAUAAUCACCCAUCUGGCUAUUCUCACACCGUUAGAACUUUCGUCUAUCGACCAGCAAGCGUACCAGCAUACUGCAUUUGAGAACUCUAGAUCGAUGUACAUCUUUAUUCUGCGGUUGCAGUACGAACUUUGCUUCAACUGAAAGGAAAGGGGAAAAGAGAUUAUGUAAUCGCUGUAGAAUGUGUUUAUUACAGGGCUUCUAGUUUCUGCUUACAAAUACGCUUAGCUGUUGGAAAGUAGCUUUCACCGAUCCGAGCUAAGCAUCCGACGCGUCGUGGUACUCUCGUAGGAACUCCGAUCGAUUGCAACAGAUUUCGUGUUCAUCAAGUCAUCGCCCAGUUGCAAUUUUCUGAAGAUUUAGACCGGAAUACAAAAAAUAUAUGUAUAAAAAAAAAAAAUGCAAUUUUCGCCCCUAAUUGCAUUUUGUUCCACUGAUGCACUCAUUUACAUUUUGACUGGCUCGGCUUAAGCCCAACACAUUUAUUCGUUUAAAUUUC